CAACUGUGCCGUUUCUGAUCUGUCUCGUUGUCUUCUGUGAGCCCUUUGAUCCUGGCUGCCUUCUUCGUUCUCCGUUUCACAGUGAACGGUGCCGAAGCUACUUCCGCCGACACCGGACCACUAAUGUGAUAAACUCACCGAGGGUGCUAAAAGCUUUGCAAGGAGGGAUCAUCUCUUAGAGUUUGAAAGAAAGUUCGAGGCUGGUGGGAUGAGAAAGAUGUUUUCAGGGCUGAACCUGGUGAAAGGCCUCCUGAGCCAGAUGAGAAAUUCUUUGGCAACUUUCCAUUUCCUUACAUGAAUGGGUUUUUGCAUCUUGGACAUGCAUUCUCCCUGUCCAAGAUUGAAUUUGCUGCUGCCUAUCAUAGAUUAAGGGGUGCGAAUGUGCUCUUGCCAUUUGCUUUUCACUGCACCGGUAUGCCCAUCAAGGCAUCAGCGGAUAAACUUCGUCGGGAGAUUCAGCAGUUUGGUGAUCCACCUGAUUUUGCCAAAGAAGAGGAUGAGCAAUUAAAAUCACAACCAGAACCUGAUGACGCACAUGGAAGUGUACCAGCAGAUAAGUUUAAGGGCAAAAAGUCAAAGGCUGCAUCAAAAUCGGGGGGACAAAUGUUCCAGUGGGAAAUUAUGUGCGGUUUUGGCCUUUCUGAUAGUGAGAUAUCAAAGUUCCAGGAUCCAUAUGAAUGGUUGAGGUUCUUUCCUCCAUUAGCCAUGGAAGAUCUUAAGGCUUUUGGCUUGGGCUGUGACUGGAGACGCACAUUUGUUACCACAGAUAUAAACCCAUACUUUGAUUCUUUUGUACAGUGGCAGAUGAGGAAACUAAAAUCCAUGGGCAAGAUCAUCAAACAUGUGCGUUACACAAUUUACUCUCCCUUAGAUGGCCAACCAUGUGCAGAUCACGACAGGGCAAUUGGUGAAGGAGUGCAGCCUCAGGAAUACACUGUUGUUAAGAUGGAGGUGUUGCCACCUUUCCCUGCUAAACUGGAGCCUUUAGGAGGGAAAAAGAUAUUCCUAGCUGCUGCUACAUUGAGACCUGAGACAAUGUAUGGACAAACAAAUGCCUGGGUCUUGCCUGAUGGUGAAUAUGGAGCUUUUGAAAUCAAUGAAACAGAUAUAUUUAUCCUCACAGAGAGAGCAGCCCUUAACCUUGCCUAUCAAAACUUCUCAAGGUUCCCCCAGAAACCUUGUUGCUUGCUUGCGUUAACUGGUUAUGAGCUGAUUGGCCUUCACUUGAAGUCUCCUCUUUCUUUCAACAAGAUCAUAUAUGCUCUUCCCAUGCUGACCAUUUUGACUGACAAAGGCACUGGCAUUGUGACCAGUGUACCUAGUGAUGCCCCUGAUGACUAUAUGGCAUUGCAUGAUUUGAAAGUAAAACCAGCUUUCAGGGCAAAGUAUGGUGUGAAAGAUGAAUGGGUAAUGCCCUUUGAUAUUGUACCGAUCAUUGAUAUUCCAGAAUAUGGAGAUAGGGCAGCUGAAAAAGUUUGCAUGGAUUUGAAAAUUAAGAGCCAAAAUGAGAAAGAGAAGCUUGCUGAAGCAAAGAGGUUAACCUACCUGAGAGGAUUCACAGAGGGGACAAUGCUUGUUGGUGAAUUUGCAGGGAGAAAAGUCCAGGAAGCAAAGCCAUUGAUUAGAGCCAAGCUCAUUGAGCUGGGUGAGGCAAUUAUGUAUAGCGAGCCUGAGAAGCGGGUCGUGUCAAGGUCUGGAGAUGGAUGUGUUGUGGCUCUUACUGAUCAAUGGUACAUUACUUAUGGGGAAGAAGAAUGGAAGAAACUGGCUGAGGAAUGCUUAUCCAAUAUGAAUCUCUACUCUGAUGAGACACGGCAUGGCUUUGAGCACACAUUAAGCUGGUUAAAUCAGUGGGCUUGUUCACGAUCUUUUGGGCUUGGGACUCGCAUUCCCUGGGAUAAAGAUUUCCUUGUUGAAUCCUUGUCUGAUUCCACUAUCUACAUGGCUUAUUACACUGUUGCUCACCUGCUUCAUAAUGAUGACAUGUAUGGUACAAACAAGCCUCAUCCUAUUCAGUCUGAGCAAAUGACUGAUGAGGUCUGGGAUUUUAUCAUCUGUGGUGGUCCAUAUCCCAAGUCAUCUAAUAUACCUUCAUCUAUACUUGAUAGGAUGAAGCAGGAGUUUGAAUAUUGGUACCCAUUUGAUCUUCGAGUCUCUGGUAAGGACCUCAUACAGAAUCAUUUGACAUUCAGCAUUUACAACCAUACUGCAAUCAUGGCCAAGCACCAUUGGCCUCGUGGAUUCAGGUGUAAUGGGCACAUUAUGCUCAAUUCUGAAAAGAUGAGCAAGUCUACUGGAAAUUUUAGGACAAUUCGGCAAGCUAUUGAGGAAUUCUCUGCUGAUGCAACACGAUUUUCUCUUGCUGAUGCUGGGGAUGGUGUUGAUGAUGCGAACUUUGUAUUUGAAACUUCAAAUGCUGCAAUCCUCCGCCUCACUAAAGAGAUUUCAUGGAUGGAGGAGGUUUUGGCUGCAGAAUCAUCUCUGAGAAUGGGCCCCCCAUCUACUUAUGCUGAUAGGGUCUUUGCAAAUGAGAUGAAUAUAGCUGUCAAAAUGACUGAACAAAAUUACCAAGGCUACAUGUUUAGAGAAGCUUUAAAAACUGGGUUUUAUGAUCUGCAAGCUGCCAGGGAUGAGUACAGGUUCUCAUGUGGCAGUGGGGGCAUGAACCGUGACUUGGUAUGGCGAUUUAUGGAUGUUCAGACUCGGCUUCUUACUCCUAUCUGUCCACACUAUGCAGAAUAUGUUUGGAGAGAGCUUUUGAAGAAGGAUGGAUUUGUGGUGAAUUCAGGCUGGCCGACAGCUAAUUCUCCUGAUCUAACUUUGAAGGCUGCCAACAAGUACUUGCAGGACUCAAUUGCUCUGAUGAGGAAGCUGCUUCAAAAACAACUCCUAGGUUCAAAGAAGGCCAAUAAGGAUGGAGCUCCAGUUGCAACGCUGACUGAAGACAAGAUAACAGGUUUAAUAUAUGUGAACGAGCAAUUUAAUGGAUGGAAGGCAGAAUGCUUGAGGAUACUCCAAAGAAAAUUUGACCAUAAGACCUGUGCUUUUGCCCCUGAUGGGGAGAUAAUGGAGGCACUAAAGAAUAGUUCUGUUGGCCAGGCCACAAAUUUUAAACAAACACAAAAACUUUGCAUGCCUUUCUUGAGGUUCAAGAAGGAUGAGGCCAUUGCACUUGGAGCUAAGGCCUUGGAUCUGAGGCUACCUUUUGGAGAGAUUGAGAUCCUUCAGGAGAACUUGGACUUGAUUAAGAGACAAAUUGGUCUUGAAGAGGUGGAAAUAUUGGCAGCAAGUGACCCUGAUGCUCUUGCUAAAGCUGGUUCUCUUGUCUCACUGCUGAACCAGAAUCCUGCCUCUCCUGGUAGCCCAACUGCCAUCUUCUUGACCAGUUGAGUGGACUCAUUCUCAGUUAUUCAGUGCAUCUUCUUCAAGGUAAUUGAUACUUGACAACCCCACCACAGAGAUAUGAUGGAAGAAAUAUCGACUCUUGUGCAGUGCUAAUGAUAUUUAUUACAUAGAUUGCAUUAGAGAAGAAAGUACUUGUGCAGACCAAAGAAGUUCCUGUGAAUGUUCUGCUGGGAUGCUAUCAGUUUGAAAAGUAGUCUAUUCUAUCAACAAUGGAAGUAGGAACUUACAGUCUCCUUACAUUGAACUGAUAUACAUCUUGAAUUUUGUCUUAUUAUUUUGGUGGUUGAUGAACUGGAGUAGAUGUUUGGGGAAGUUGGCAUGGGUUAAAAUCAGUUUCCUGUCUACAGGGUUGUACUCUACCCUU
RNAcentral lists this unclassified non-coding RNA (3769 nucleotides) under Hevea brasiliensis (rubber tree). Lineage: Eukaryota; Viridiplantae; Streptophyta; Magnoliopsida; Malpighiales; Euphorbiaceae. The record is from RNAcentral.